AGAGUUUGAUCCUGGCUCAGAACGAACGCUGGCGGCGUGGAUAAGACAUGCAAGUCGAACGCGACUUAUCGUGUUAGCAAUAACAUGGUGAGUUGAGUGGCGAAAGGGUGCGUAACACGUGGGAAUUUACCAAGAAGUGGGGAAUAGCUCGACGAAAGUCGAAUUAAUACCGCAUGUGAUCGAAAGAUCAAAGUCGGGGACCGCAAGGCCUGACGCUUUUUGAGAAGCCCGCGGCCCAUCAGCUAGUUGGCGAGGUAAAAGCUCACCGAGGCUAUGACGGGUAGCUGGUCUGAGAGGACGACCAGCCACACUGGAACUGAGACACGGUCCAGACACCUACGGGUGGCAGCAGUCGAGAAUUUUUCACAAUGGACGAAAGUCUGAUGGAGCGACGCCGCGUGGAGGAUGAAGGUUUUCGGAUUGUAAACUCCUGUCACUGCAGAACAAGGUAAUGCCAGUUAACAGCCGGCGUUAUUGAUGGUAUGCGGAGAGGAAGGGACGGCUAACUCUGUGCCAGCAGCCGCGGUAAGACAGAGGUCCCGAGCGUUGUUCGGAUUCAUUGGGCGUAAAGGGUGUGUAGGAGGUCGGGUAAGUCAGGUGUGAAAUCUCAGAGCUUAACUCUGAAACUGCGCUUGAUACUGCUCGGCUAGAGGAUCGGAGGGGGUAUCGGAAUUUAUGGUGUAGCAGUGAAAUGCGUAGAUAUCAUAAGGAACACCGGUGGCGAAGGCGGAUACCUGGAAGAUUCCUGACUCUGAAACACGAAAGCCAGGGGAGCAAACGGGAUUAGAUACCCUAGUAGUCC
This 802-nucleotide ribosomal RNA is filed under the name uncultured bacterium. RNAcentral describes it as "bacterial SSU rRNA". It matches the Rfam family "Bacterial small subunit ribosomal RNA", at positions 8 to 796 of the family's 1533-position model. The record is from RNAcentral.